RNAcentral lists this ribosomal RNA (468 nucleotides) under Triticum aestivum (bread wheat). Its description in RNAcentral is "partial small subunit ribosomal RNA". Lineage: Eukaryota; Viridiplantae; Streptophyta; Magnoliopsida; Poales; Poaceae. The record is from RNAcentral.
AUGCAUGAUCAGGUCGGCCUGGACCUGGACGGCUUCCCACUCGACCACGAGUUUCCGGAGGACUACGGGCAAGAGGAAGAGGGCGAGUGCGACAUCGGAGGGGAGCCUUUAUUCGGGGACGACCUCGCCAACCAAGCCGACGGGGUGAAGCCGAAGCGCAAGAGCAAGCGAACGAAGGGAUACACGGCGGCCAAGGACAAGCUUCUUUGUGAGUGUUGGAGAGACAUUGGGCAAGACCCCAAGACGGGCGCCGAACAAAAGGCAUCAACCUUUUGGAUUCAUGUCCACCGUCAGUUCCAUGAGCGCAAGAAGUUUCCGCCGUACGAAAUACUAAGCACGCGCGGGUGGGUGUCCAUUUUGAAGCAAUGGAGGGUGAUCCAACAAGAGUGCAACAAUUUUUGUGCCACUCUUGAGAGCGUCAAGGCCCGCCCCAUGAGCGGCAUCGGCAUGCAAGACAUGGUAUGCUAG